RNAcentral lists this long non-coding RNA (439 nucleotides) under Carica papaya (papaya). RNAcentral describes it as "long non-coding RNA (CPAP_LNC006271)". Lineage: Eukaryota; Viridiplantae; Streptophyta; Magnoliopsida; Brassicales; Caricaceae. The record is from RNAcentral.
AUAUUCAUGCCAAGUGGCAAAAUUCGGUGAAAAGAGAGAGGAAAAAGAUGUUCGGCACGAAAAAUGAGGAAAAAAAGUCUCCUUCGCUAGCAAUAGCAGUGCGUCACUUGAGGCGACAAUGACACACUACUCGAGGCAAUAAUGGCCCGUCUUACGCUCUGCAAGCGCGCAGGCCUCCUGCCGCGCGCACAAGGGUUAGUCUGCAUGCACGGAGGGCCUUGGUACACUGGGCGUCAUGCGCGCAGGCCCCAGGCGCACAGGGGCCUAUCAUUGCAGGCAUGUUAUGCGUGCAGCACCCGCACAGUGUGCGAUGCUUGUCUGCGCACGAGUUGAUGCGCAGAUGGCUCACCUGCGCACGACAGGGUGAGCACGGGAUCUGACCCCACAUUGCGCGCACGGAUGGGAUGUGCGUGCUGUGCCCACGUCUCGCGCUAGCUCU